AAAAGAAAGUAUUUAACAAUUAUAAAACAGAGCCGUAAAUGGGAACACGAGAGAAAAGAGAAGAAACACUUUCUUUAAAUUGGUUGGCUCUUGUUUACCAGUUCCAUUUCACAUUGUGAUAAACUGACGACCUUUCAACGUGUGUUUGUUUCUUGUAAAGAAGCGAUAAUAAAUAUGAAACAAUACAUUUCCUUGAUUCUUUUGCUGUGUGGGGCAGUUCUCAUUGCUACAGUAACUAAUGUGGAGGCAACACUCUGCUAUGAUAGCAUGACUAACUGUAAUGCUGCCUGUGGAGGAAGUGAUGAGCAUUGUAGCCAGUACUCGUGUACUACCUGGACUGCCAGCUGUAUUGUAUGCAACUGUGACCUACCAAAUUUUCAAACAUAAUACACCAGCACCAAUGGAAUCUCCUUAUUGCUCAUUCCCAAUAAAGACCACUGUAAUUGAAAGACUUGGAUAAAAGAUAUUUUUAAUGUUUUAUUUUUCAAUGUCAUCAUGAUUUACAAAAAUAUGUGCAAAUUUUUCCCAGCGAGAAAAAAAAAUUAAAGAGAGUAUACUGAAUUUUUUUUUUUUUAUCAACUUAAUUUUUGCUGAUUAAACAAGUUAUCAACUUG
Molecule: long non-coding RNA, 614 nt
Organism: Octopus bimaculoides (California two-spot octopus)
Lineage: Eukaryota; Metazoa; Mollusca; Cephalopoda; Octopoda; Octopodidae
Source: RefSeq, a predicted model, not a curated record